GAAAGAGCGUACGGCGGAUGCCUUGGCACCUGCAGCCGAAGAAGGACGCAGCAAUCUGCGAAAAGCCUCGGGGAGUCGAAAGCAGACAAAGAUCCGGGGGUAUCCGAAUGGGGAAACCCGCUGACGGUAAUGCGUCAGCACAUCCUGCAAGGGCAGGAAUGAGGAAACCCGGCGAAUUGAAACAUCUUAGUAGCCGGAGGAAAAGAAAACAACAGUGAUUCCCUCAGUAGCGGCGAGCGAACGGGGAGCAGGCCAAACCAGUCUGAGGACUGGGGUAGUAGGACCGCGUGAUGGAACGAAAGCUGAUAGUCGAACGACUUGGAAAAGUCGACCACAGGGGGUGAAAGUCCCGUAGACGAAAUCGGCCUGAAGCCUAGCGGUAUCCUGAGUACGGCGAGACACGAGGAAUCUUGCCGGAAUCAGCCAGGACCAUCUGGCAAGCCUAAAUACUAGCAGGUGACCGAUAGUGAACCAGUACCGUGAGGGAAAGGUGAAAAGAACCCCGGGAGGGGAGUGAAAUAGAACCUGAAACCGUGUGCCUACAACCGGUCAAAGCACUAUGUUUUAUACAGUGUGAUGACGUGCUUUUUGUAGAACGAUCCAGCGAGUUACGGUAUGCAGCGAGGUUAAGCACUUAAGGUGCGGAGCCGAAGGGAAACCGAGUCUGAAUAGGGCGUAGAGUUGCAUGCUGUAGACCCGAAACCGGGUGACCUAUCCAUGGACAGGGUGAAGCGGAAGUAAAAUUCCGUGGAGGCCCGAACCACGUUGGUGUUGAAAAACCAUGGGAUGAGCUGUGGAUAGCGGAGAAAUUCCAAUCGAACUCGGAGAUAGCUGGUUCUCCUCGAAAUAGCUUUAGGGCUAGCCUCGUAGAGAAGAUACAUGGAGGUAGAGCACUGACUGGAUGCGGGAGCCACAAAGCUUACCAAAUCUUAUCAAACUCCGAAUGCCAUAGAAUCGAUAUACGGGAGUCAGUCCAUGUGAGAUAAGUUACAUGGGCGAGAGGGAAAGACCCCAGAUCGUCCGCUAAGGUCCCCAAGUACAUGUUAAGUGGUUAAGGAUGUGUAUAUGCACAGACAACCAGGAUGUUGGCUUAGAAGCAGCCAUACAUUUAAAGAGUGCGUAAUAGCUCACUGGUCGAGUGGAUAUGCGCCGAAAAUGUCCGGGGCUAAAACAUGACACCGAAGCGGCGGGAUUGAUACGAAGAGUAUCAAUCGGUAGAGGAGCAUAAUAGCGUAGGCUGAAGCAUGAGCGAGAGCACAUGUGGACGAACUAUUAGAGAGAAUGCCGGUAUGAGUAGCGAGAGGCAUGCGAGAAACAUGCCCGUCGAAAGCCCAAGGUUUCCUGGGGAAGGUUCAUCCACCCAGGGUAAGUCGGGUCCUAAGCCGAGGACAGAAGUCGUAGGCGAUGGAUAGCAGGUGGAAAUUCCUGCACUAACAUAUGAGAGAAGCAGUGACACAGAAGGAUAGCUCGAGCGCGGUGAUGGUCAACUGCGUGAAAGCGUCGAGUGGGGUAUGUAGUGAAGUACGCAUACCGCAACCAUGAGACGUGAGAGGACUGAAAUUAAAGUAAGGAAGCGAGCGAUUUCCCGCUGGCGAGAAAAGCUGCUAUUAUAUUGUAUGUUACCCGUACCGCAAACCGACACAGGUGGGCGGGGAGAGAAUCCUGAGACGAACGGGAGAAUCCUUGUUAAGGAACUCGGCAAAAUGACCCCGUAACUUCGGGAGAAGGGGUGCCACAGAAAUGUGGCCGCAGAGAAGAGGCUCAAGCGACUGUUUAACAAAAACACAGGUAUCUGCGAAAGCGAGAGCUGACGUAUAGGUGCUGACACCUGCCCGGUGCUGGAAGGUUAAGGGGAACUGUCAUCGCAAGAGAAGCAGAGAACUGAAGCCCCAGUAAACGGCGGCCGUAACUAUAACGGUCCUAAGGUAGCGAAAUUCCUUGUCGGGUAAGUUCCGACCCGCACGAAUGGUGUAACGAUUUGAGCGCUGUCUCAACAAGGAGCCCGGUGAAAUUGCAAUAUGGGUGAAGAUGCCCAUUACCCGCGACUGGACGGAAAGACCCCGUAGAGCUUUACUGUACCCUGAUAUUGGACUUUGGUAAUAUAUGCACAGGAUAGGUGGGAGACUGAGAAGUACUGGUUUCGGCUGGUAUGGAGUCACCGUUGGGAUACCACUCUUAUAUUACUGAAGUUCUAACAAGAUGCCGUGACCCGGGUCUUGGACAUUGUCAGGCGGACAGUUUGACUGGGGCGGUCGCCUCCGAAAGAGUAACGGAGGCGCCCAAAGGUACCCUCAGAAUGGAUGGAAACCAUUCGCAGAGUGUAAAGGCAGAAGGGUGCCUGACUGCGAGAUUGACAAAUCGAGCAGAGACGAAAGUCGGGCUUAGUGAUCCGGCGGUAUCGAGUGGAAGAGCCGUCGCUUAACGGAUAAAAGCUACCUCGGGGAUAACAGGCUUAUCUCCCCCAAGAGUUCACAUCGACGGGGAGGUUUGGCACCUCGAUGUCGGCUCGUCGCAUCCUGGGGCUGAAGCAGGUCCCAAGGGUUUGGCUGUUCGCCAAUUAAAGCGGCACGCGAGCUGGGUUCAGAACGUCGUGAGACAGUUCGGUCCCUAUCCGUCGUGGGCGAAGGAACCAUGAGAGGAGCUGCUCCUAGUACGAGAGGACCGGAGUGGACGCACCACUGGUGCAACUGUUGUCGUGCCAACGGCAUAGCAGGGAAGCGAAGUGCGGAAAGGAUAAACGCUGAAGGCAUCUAAGCGUGAAGCCCCCCUCAAGAAGAAGGUUCCCAUCUCCAAGAGAGAGUAAGGUACCUGCAAGAGAAGCAGGUGAUAGGUCAUCGAUGUAAGUAUGGUAACAUAUUAAGUUUGAUGAUACUAAUCAACCGAGGGCUUGAUUU
Molecule: ribosomal RNA, 2894 nt
Filed under: biogas fermenter metagenome
Description: bacterial LSU rRNA
Rfam family: Bacterial large subunit ribosomal RNA
Source: RNAcentral